Molecule: ribosomal RNA, 468 nt
Filed under: uncultured bacterium
Lineage: Bacteria
Description: partial 16S ribosomal RNA
Rfam family: Bacterial small subunit ribosomal RNA
Source: RNAcentral
GACGAACGCUGGCGGCGUGCUUAACACAUGCAAGUCGAACGGAAAGGCCCUGCUUUUGUGGGGUGCUCGAGUGGCGAACGGGUGAGUAACACGUGAGUAACCUGCCCUUGACUUUGGGAUAACUUCAGGAAACUGGGGCUAAUACCGGAUAGGAGCUCCUGCUGCAUGGUGGGGGUUGGAAAGUUUCGGCGGUUGGGGAUGGACUCGCGGCUUAUCAGCUUGUUGGUGGGGUAGUGGCUUACCAAGGCUUUGACGGGUAGCCGGCCUGAGAGGGUGUCCGGCCACAUUGGGACUGAGAUACGGCCCAGACUCCUACGGGAGGCAGCAGUGAGGAAUAUUGCACAAUGGGCGGAAGCCUGAUGCAGCAACGCCGCGUGCGGGAUGACGGCCUUCGGGUUGUAAACCGCUUUCGCCUGUGACGAAGCGUGAGUGACGGUAAUGGGUAAAGAAGCACCGGCUAACUACGUG